CUAUGCGCCUUGCCAGCCCGCUCAGGUGUGCCAGCAGCCGCGGUAAUACGGAGGAUGCGAGCGUUAUCCGGAUUUAUUGGGUUUAAAGGGUGCGUAGGCGGUCCGUUAAGUCAGCGGUAAAAUUGCGGGGCUCAACCCCGUCGAGCCGUUGAAACUGUCAGACUUGAGUUUGCGAGAAGUACGCGGAAUGCGCGGUGUAGCGGUGAAAUGCAUAGAUAUCACGCAGAACUCCGAUUGCGAAGGCAGCAUACCGGCGCCCGGCUGACGCUGAGGCACGAAAGCGUGGGGGAUCGAACAGG
This 299-nucleotide ribosomal RNA is filed under the name uncultured bacterium. Its description in RNAcentral is "partial 16S ribosomal RNA". It matches the Rfam family "Bacterial small subunit ribosomal RNA", at positions 475 to 776 of the family's 1533-position model. The record is from RNAcentral.